This 27-nucleotide small RNA is filed under the name Bombyx mori (domestic silkworm). Its description in RNAcentral is "ovarian small RNA-34090". The record is from RNAcentral. Lineage: Eukaryota; Metazoa; Arthropoda; Insecta; Lepidoptera; Bombycidae.
UGCUAGAAAGGGUGCUGCCUUUGUUCC